This 3050-nucleotide long non-coding RNA is filed under the name Homo sapiens (human). RNAcentral describes it as "non-protein coding lnc-CPM-2:3". The record is from RNAcentral. Lineage: Eukaryota; Metazoa; Chordata; Mammalia; Primates; Hominidae.
AGGCGCAAAAGUUUGCCAAUGUGUUCCUGGUUGCGUUUAGCCCAGACGCCCUGCGGCCGCUUUGCCUGACCAAAGUCUGUGGGCGUGGAACAGGCCCUGGGUUCUCCUACUGGGAAGAAUGAAGUUCAGGUACUCCAUGUGAUAUAUGGUUCCACAAUCCUCAGCGUGUUAACUGAAGCCUUGUUGAGUUUAACAAAGCUGCCAUUGAAGAUCUGGGGAAAGUGAAGAAGUUGCAACAGAGUUUUGGGCUCACACCAUUGAUACAUUUGAUCCUUAAGGCAAGCCCACCCCGCCUCACUCCCACCCUCUUCUACUUAAUUCAGGAUGUGAAUAGCACAUGCCUUCCAUCUUCAGACAAACACUGAGGCCUGGACAAUGACCUGCAUUAGGUAGAUAGAAUCUACUGAAAGCUAAAAGCCUUUUCCUGUGUCUUAGCAGCACGGAAGCCACGCCUCCUUCCCCCCAAUGUUUGUGCAAACCCUAGAGAAGAGGAGACAGCCCCUAUGAUGUGUGAGGUUGAAUUUCCUGCCCUCAACCCAUCAAAUCAGGCAGAAUGAGGGCUCAGUCAGAACUACAACUACAAAAGAGAAAAAUUUUAAUGUGACUUUUCUUGUCUGCUCAGAUUUUUGGGUUAAGGUUCAUGCCAGCUACAUUCUUUGCAUAAUAAAAUAUAAAUAGAGUAUAAAUUGUUCUAGUUAGAGAAAACAGCAAAACAGUGCUCUCCCAAGGGCCCUAAUAAAUCACUUUACAGAAACGUGGAUGUGUGUUGGAUUUACAGGAUUUCUAUGCCAAGCAGAGAAGUACGUGAAAACAGGAAAGCAAAAUGCAUAAGUUGCAAUAAUAGUUUUGUGGUUUAGCUGAAUAAUGUCCUAUAUCAACAGAGGAUAAUGAUUUUAGUUUUUCAGUUGCCCCAAGAUCAUUUCCAUUACUGAUGAGGCUUGAAAUGUCUGUGAAGAAGAGUCAUUGCAAUUGAUUUAUUUGUCUGGCAAACUUUUUGUCAGCAAAUUCACCACUACCUCAAAAAUCUCACUAGCUACUCUAUGCUUAAGACAUUGGAAGCAUAAGCCACAAUGAAAACUAACUCUUAGCAUUAGAAUUCUAAGAAGCAGUAAUGUAUUUAUGAUUUUAUGUUAAAAAUCUCCCAGAUGUCAGCAUUUAAAUCACAAUUCAGUAAUAUAAGUAAUUUGAAAUUAGAAAGUUUUAUACUUCACCAUUCUAUUUUCCUCUUCAAAUUGAACACAGUUUGAAAGAAUUAAGAAAAGAAGCUAUAAAAAAUAAAUUGUUCAAGGAUUCUUCCUGUUUCUAAACACCACAAGAUUAUGAUGAUAGAGACAUCAUUUGAAGUGGUAGAGAGUACUGUGAAAUAUCUAUAUGUGAAUGUAAUGAAAAUGAAAAAAUAAUCUGAUGAAUUUUUAAAAUUAAUCUUGUUAGAGUCAUUUUUGAGAAAUUGUAUGCAAGUGUAUUGAUUGAAAAUGACCUUCUCAUUCAAGAAAAAUUUAUUGAGCACUUACCAAGUGUCAACAGGUGAAUGUGAAUAAAAUAGAUAUGGUCCCUGCCUUCUUGGAGUUGAAUAAAAUAGCAAACACUUAUUGAAUAUUUGCCCACCCCGCCUCACUCCCACCCUCUUCUACUUAAUUCAGGAUGUGAAUAGCACAUGCCUUCCAUCUUCAGACAAACACUGAGGCCUGGACAAUGACCUGCAUUAGGUAGAUAGAAUCUACUGAAAGCUAAAAGCCUUUUCCUGUGUCUUAGCAGCACGGAAGCCACGCCUCCUUCCCCCCAAUGUUUGUGCAAACCCUAGAGAAGAGGAGACAGCCCCUAUGAUGUGUGAGGUUGAAUUUCCUGCCCUCAACCCAUCAAAUCAGGCAGAAUGAGGGCUCAGUCAGAACUACAACUACAAAAGAGAAAAAUUUUAAUGUGACUUUUCUUGUCUGCUCAGAUUUUUGGGUUAAGGUUCAUGCCAGCUACAUUCUUUGCAUAAUAAAAUAUAAAUAGAGUAUAAAUUGUUCUAGUUAGAGAAAACAGCAAAACAGUGCUCUCCCAAGGGCCCUAAUAAAUCACUUUACAGAAACGUGGAUGUGUGUUGGAUUUACAGGAUUUCUAUGCCAAGCAGAGAAGUACGUGAAAACAGGAAAGCAAAAUGCAUAAGUUGCAAUAAUAGUUUUGUGGUUUAGCUGAAUAAUGUCCUAUAUCAACAGAGGAUAAUGAUUUUAGUUUUUCAGUUGCCCCAAGAUCAUUUCCAUUACUGAUGAGGCUUGAAAUGUCUGUGAAGAAGAGUCAUUGCAAUUGAUUUAUUUGUCUGGCAAACUUUUUGUCAGCAAAUUCACCACUACCUCAAAAAUCUCACUAGCUACUCUAUGCUUAAGACAUUGGAAGCAUAAGCCACAAUGAAAACUAACUCUUAGCAUUAGAAUUCUAAGAAGCAGUAAUGUAUUUAUGAUUUUAUGUUAAAAAUCUCCCAGAUGUCAGCAUUUAAAUCACAAUUCAGUAAUAUAAGUAAUUUGAAAUUAGAAAGUUUUAUACUUCACCAUUCUAUUUUCCUCUUCAAAUUGAACACAGUUUGAAAGAAUUAAGAAAAGAAGCUAUAAAAAAUAAAUUGUUCAAGGAUUCUUCCUGUUUCUAAACACCACAAGAUUAUGAUGAUAGAGACAUCAUUUGAAGUGGUAGAGAGUACUGUGAAAUAUCUAUAUGUGAAUGUAAUGAAAAUGAAAAAAUAAUCUGAUGAAUUUUUAAAAUUAAUCUUGUUAGAGUCAUUUUUGAGAAAUUGUAUGCAAGUGUAUUGAUUGAAAAUGACCUUCUCAUUCAAGAAAAAUUUAUUGAGCACUUACCAAGUGUCAACAGGUGAAUGUGAAUAAAAUAGAUAUGGUCCCUGCCUUCUUGGAGUUGAAUAAAAUAGCAAACACUUAUUGAAUAUUUAUUAUAUGUUGUGCAUUAUAAUAUUAACCAAUGUUUAUUGAGUUGUUAUUAUAUGCCAACUAUGCCAAUCCUGUCCUAAGCAAUUUAUGUAUGUUAACUAAUUUAAUCCUCACAAUAAAUCUAUGAGGUAGGUA